GUCCGAUCCACCCUGAGCCACCCGCACCGUGCAAUCUAAUUAGAGGACAUGAGUCUCUGAGGUUCCCACGUGGUCCCUCUAUGUCAGCCAAAGCAGGACCGUGCCAUUUUAUCCAUUCCUCUUUCCCCAUCCCCAUUUACUUCUCGCGAACUCUGAUCUCGUCGUGUUUUUCUCUCGGCCGAUUUCGCAGCAGCGAUUCCGGGCCGCCGGGUGUCAGAGAGGAGCAGCAGAUUGGCGGCGUGGUCAUACGCAGCCCCGGGAGGGGCGGCGUCGGCGUCGAUGUGCAGUUUUGCCCGAGGUUUUGCUGGUUGAUUUCGUCGCGGUGCGGUUUUACCGACGAGGCCACAGGGCACGGGACCUCCUGCAUGUCGCGGGGGGAGGUCACGAGGGCUACGCGAAGGCGAUUGCAUAAUUGAAUCCAGCUCUGCUGGACGCAGGCGGGGCACAUCGACCUCGGUUAGAUCUCCUUUGUCCUUCAUAUAUAUUUCCCCUAUUUAUUCGCCCCUGAUUUCCUCUGCCCGGUGGCGAUUUUCCGGCGAUUUCCAUGGCAUGAGGCGUCUCGGCGGUGCGGGUCAACGGAAAAGAGAGAGGCGCUGCGCGUGGGGUAGGGGGAGCAUGAUUGAAGUAGGUGGGACAUCGAGGAGCUCACUGUCGAUUUUCUCGCCGUGGCUUCGUGUCAUGUCGUGGUCAGUACGCAGGGCCUCGGCGUCUGCAUGUCACACGGCACGGUGGUGGCGGCUGCGCGAACCUUCUACGGUUGCUAAUUCGAGCGCAGCGGGCGGAAUCGAUUUCAUGAUUUCACUCCUCACGGUAUCCCAGAAGGUGCUUGUUGGGUUGUAUGGAUCAAGACUGGGAUUUGUCACUCCUUGUGACGGAGAGAUAUCUCUGGGCCCUCUCGCGUUUGGCUGCCACAUCAAGCUCGAUGGGAGGAUCAAGCACCGUGGCCGCAUAAUCUUGGUGCCCGCGGGAGUUGAGAAUAUGAGGAGACGGUGGGGGCAAUGUACGCCUGAGAAUUGGGGAUAGGGAACAACAACCAUAUGACAAGGUUGCGGCUUUCUGAAGAAUGGAUUUGUACAUAUGGGACAAGAAACCUAAUGAAGGCGUAACAAGGGAUGCACAUUUUGUACAGCUAGCUUUGUGAUUUUGAACCUAAGACAAGACUAAUGCUGGCGGAACAUAUGCUGGGCCUAACUACUACAUAUGGAAAUCUUCUACUUGUGUGAAUCAAAUGUUCGGGCACUUUUUGUGGGGAUUCAGCUUGAGUGCUCUUGGAAAUACUGCUUUGUAUGCAUAUAUGUACUAUCUAGUCGUCUAUACUAUUGCUAUUCCUACUACUAGUGGUUUUUGCUUUUGGAAUUUGUUCUGAAUGAUGAUUCAUGGAUUUGUUUUACAUUAGCUGUAUAGCUCCUGACUAUGUUCAGUUUUUAACCUGUAUGUGGGUUUAGAUUUGCUUUUUGUAGGGUGCGACUUUGUUUGAAACUAAACUGAUUUCUCA
This is an RNA transcript of Brachypodium distachyon (stiff brome), 1495 nucleotides long. RefSeq lists it as uncharacterized. The transcript is spliced from 5 exons. NCBI's taxonomy places the organism in Eukaryota, Viridiplantae, Streptophyta, Magnoliopsida, Poales, Poaceae. The record is from RefSeq and is a predicted model, not a curated record.